GACGAACGCUGGCGGCGUGCCUAAUACAUGCAAGUCGAGCGGACCUCUUCGGAGGUCAGCGGCGGACGGGUGAGUAACACGUGGGCAACCUGCCUGUAAGACUGGGAUAACUCCGGGAAACCGGAGCUAAUACCGGAUAUUAUUUCAAACCGCAUGGUUUGAAAUUCAAAGACGGUUUCGGCUGUCACUUACAGAUGGGCCCGCGGCGCAUUAGCUAGUUGGUGAGGUAAUGGCUCACCAAGGAAACGAUGCGUAGCCGACCUGAGAGGGUGAUCGGCCACACUGGGACUGAGACACGGCCCAGACUCCUACGGGAGGCAGCAGUAGGGAAUCUUCCGCAAUGGACGAAAGUCUGACGGAGCAACGCCGCGUGAGUGAUGAAGGUUUUCGGAUCGUAAAACUCUGUUGUCAGGGAAGAACAAGUGCCGGAGUAACUGCCGGCACCUUGACGGUACCUGACCAGAAAGCCACGGCUAACUACGUGCCAGCAGCCGCCGUAA
This 500-nucleotide ribosomal RNA is filed under the name uncultured bacterium. RNAcentral's name for it is "partial 16S ribosomal RNA". It matches the Rfam family "Bacterial small subunit ribosomal RNA", at positions 28 to 523 of the family's 1533-position model. The record is from RNAcentral.